Molecule: long non-coding RNA, 1356 nt
Filed under: Betta splendens (Siamese fighting fish)
Lineage: Eukaryota; Metazoa; Chordata; Actinopteri; Anabantiformes; Osphronemidae
Description: lncRNA (ENSBSLG00000025011.1)
Source: RNAcentral
AUGGCAGCACCCAGUCACCCUUUCACCCCGCUGGGAAGACAACAGACAUUAAGGUUCUCCUCAACUCCUCCAUUCCGUCUACCUCAGCCUUUGCCUAGAACAUUUACAAGACAAAUUCUUGUUGCAAAGCUUGUCAAUGACCAAGUAAAUCUCCAGGAAAAUGUGACAAAUAUUGUCUUCAGAGAAGACCAAGCCAAUGUAAAUGACAUGGCAAAGUUGGUGAGGACAGCUCUGCAGAUGGAGUCCGAAGUUGUCCUGACAGAUGGAGCAGGGAGGGCCAUUAUGCCAACACCUGGAACAUGUGGUAAAUAUUUUUUUUAUAAUAAACAGUGUUGUGGGUGUGUGUAUCUGUCGUGUGUUUUACGUAUUGUGUUGCAACUUAAUUUCAUUGUCACGAUUCAGCGCUGGUCGAGCUGGAUGCUAAUGAAAAACUUAAAAAAUAAUUGAAAUAAUCUUUGAGGCAAUAUCACAGGAUUAACCAAAUAUCAGAACGUUAGUAUUAUAGCAAUAUUGUCAGUUGGCCAGUUAUUAAAGUUGAAUAACUAUUAAGUACAUAACCUCUGCUUUUGGAUUGUGCAAUACCAUAAAUUUGGACACACCUUCAAACUGAACUGUAUUUUUACUGCGCAUAAAACAAUACAAAUGUUGAUUAUUAUAUUAAUUUGUCAACAGGAGUUCCAAAAUGUGAUACUGAACCCUACAUAAAAUUUAAAGCAUAAUACUGCCAUACAAUUUUAUCUUCUGUUUACUGGAUUUAGGAUUGGACUUUUGGAAGAAAGGAGCAAGGAAGAUUUUGGCCUUCAGUAAAGAUUUGUAUGAAGAGUGGACCAAGAGGAAGAGAAAGAGGUGACUUGAACAUGUGUAAAAUGUUGGAGUGUAUAAAGCUUGUUAGUUCCAGGAAUAGACCUUUUUAUGGACUGGCCAGUUUUUCAGUAAAUAACUAAAAUUAUUUUAAGGUCGUCAGACGACCACUUGGAACGAGUCCAUUCUGUGAUAGAAGAGGUUGUGUUGGCAGCUGAAGCACUGCCAGGCAUUGCCUCCAGUCUGAGGGAGUUGGGUCAUCUGAGCACAGGACUUACCAGACAUCAGUUGGAAACAAUUAAGUCGUCUUUCAAAUGCCUAAUAUGUCACUGUAAGUAAAUAACAGUAGAUUAGGGACUUUUUUGUUCAUCAAAUCAUUAGUGUUUAAAAAAUUCUACACAUUAUUGGAAUAUAGUGCAAACCUCCAGCACUAUUUUAAACUAUAAAAUUGAGUAAUUAUAAUAUUUAUAGUUUUUUAAAAGCAUAUUUUGACCGAAUAUAACAAAAUUAAACAAAAAUUAUAACAAAAAUAAAUUCAUACAACACCAUAUGGCA